UGCAAGUCGAGCGCACCCUUCGGGGCGAGCGGCGGACGGGUUAGUAACGCG
RNAcentral lists this ribosomal RNA (51 nucleotides) under uncultured marine bacterium. RNAcentral describes it as "partial 16S ribosomal RNA". The record is from RNAcentral.